GGGGAUGAUCUGGUCUCGACAGGGAUAAUGCACUAGAGUAAGCGAGCCGUGUUUCUGUUUCCUGGGGUACACGUUAAAGAACUGGGAUACUAAACAUUAAAUGCAAAUAACAAUUUUGCUUACGCAGCUUAACCUAAAUUAAGCCGCAUUGGAUCACAAGGGCCUUGGCAUCUGACGCCGUGAUCCGAUAAUCAAUCAGAUGUGCGAUCAGUCUGUUGUCCCGGCAGCUGGUUAAGAUUUAGGGACACUCCUCUCUUCAAAUUUGUUACCUUAUAGAGAGAGGAAAACAAAGGUAGCUGCGCUCGGAGAAAGCUUUAGGAAUUUGUUUUUGGACAGGGGUUCGAUUCCCCUCAUCUCCACCA
RNAcentral lists this transfer-messenger RNA (362 nucleotides) under Tissierellia bacterium. It matches the Rfam family "transfer-messenger RNA". Rfam says of the family: Bacterial tmRNA, also known as 10Sa RNA or SsrA, is named for its dual tRNA and mRNA-like properties. Lineage: Bacteria; Bacillati; Bacillota; Tissierellia. RNAcentral also lists the same sequence under 1 other name. The record is from RNAcentral.